UGACGCUGGCGGCAUGCCUUACACAUGCAAGUCGAACGGCAGCACGGGCUUCGGCCUGGUGGCGAGUGGCGAACGGGUGAGUAAUACAUCGGAACGUGCCCUGUUGUGGGGGAUAACCAGUCGAAAGAUUGGCUAAUACCGCAUACGACCUGAGGGUGAAAGCGGGGGACCGCAAGGCCUCGCGCAGCAGGAGCGGCCGAUGUCUGAUUAGCUAGUUGGUGGGGUAAAGGCCCACCAAGGCGACGAUCAGUAGCUGGUCUGAGAGGACGAUCAGCCACACUGGGACUGAGACACGGCCCAGACUCCUACGGGAGGCAGCAGUGGGGAAUUUUGGACAAUGGGGGCAACCCUGAUCCAGCAAUGCCGCGUGUGUGAAGAAGGCCUUCGGGUUGUAAAGCACUUUUGUCCGGAAAGAAAACCUCCGCCCGAAUACGGUGGGGGGAUGACGGUACCGGAAGAAUAAGCACCGGCUAACUACGUGCCAGCAGCCGCGGUAAUACGUAGGGUGCGAGCGUUAAUCGGAAUUACUGGGCGUAAAGCGUGCGCAGGCGGUUUGACAAGACAGGCGUGAAAUCCCCGGGCUUAACCUGGGAAUGGCGCUUGUGACUGUCAGGCUAGAGUAUGUCAGAAGGGGGUAGAAUUCCACGUGUAGCAGUGAAAUGCGUA
This 666-nucleotide ribosomal RNA is filed under the name Ralstonia sp. HBL7. Its description in RNAcentral is "bacterial SSU rRNA". It matches the Rfam family "Bacterial small subunit ribosomal RNA", at positions 31 to 692 of the family's 1533-position model. The record is from RNAcentral. Lineage: Bacteria; Pseudomonadati; Pseudomonadota; Betaproteobacteria; Burkholderiales; Burkholderiaceae.